Molecule: RNA transcript, 1402 nt
Organism: Syngnathoides biaculeatus (alligator pipefish)
Lineage: Eukaryota; Metazoa; Chordata; Actinopteri; Syngnathiformes; Syngnathidae
Gene: nrgna
Gene name: neurogranin (protein kinase C substrate, RC3) a
Exons: 2
Source: RefSeq, a predicted model, not a curated record
AGAAACAUCAGUAGAGAACACAACAUGGAAUUGUCGAUUGUUAAGCAAUAAAGAGACCUCCCUCACCGGCAGCUAGUUUUUAGUUAACCACUCGGCAAAGUCAAAUCCUUGAAAACCCCUUAUGAUGUCUGUUCAAAGGGGACCAUGUUCCUCAAAGGUGAAGUGUCAUCCCUAAAACAUUCUAAAAUAGUGAAAUGAAAAAUACAUAGAACAUUAUUCACUUCAAUGUCGACACAAAAAAAUAAUUAUGAGUGGAAAGCACGUCAUCCAUGCACAAAGUUGCGGAAGUCUAGUUCGACAUCCACGUGGUCGCCCUAUUGGCUGCAUUUACUAUCCGUGACGUCACCCCAGAUAUUCGGCAUUGAAAACACGCUGUGGCCCAUACGGAGGGAGACGCCCCUUCAGACACGGAAGCUCUUAUCAAAGAAGAGAACGUCUCACGAUCGAGUCAAGUGUCCAGGGCAAUAUUAUCCUAUCGUUUUGAGUCAUAUUUAGAUUAUAUGCAGAUCACUUCUAACUAACAACAGACUCCCCGACAGUAUAACAGUAUGUAACGUACUCAGCCUCGACCGAUCAGAAUGCUGCGGUCCGGGGGCGACAAGCCAAAACACGUCACUCGCGGCUGUGUGCAACAAUUGUUUAUCGCUCCCGCCAUUGGCGGUGUUGUUCAUUGCGGACGACGGCAGCGGCUAUGAACAACCCUGCCUGCAAUGGUUGCACUCAGCCGGGUGCGAUGACAACACCAUAAAACGGCCCAGCUCGGCACUGUGAUAAGCCACCUCAGUGCCGAAGAUGAGCCACUCCAGUCGAAACCGGCGAAGGCUGCCGCGUCGUGCCUAAGACAGGAGGAUCGGGGACAGUAGAGCGCGAUGACACAGCUGUGCCAGGGCAUUGACGACCUUGUCCUGGCCUGGAUGAAGAAAGAGAGAAGUAGGGUGAGGCUCAGCAACGUAGCAAGCAAGUAUGUUUGGCUAGCACAAGCUGGCUAAGUUGGUUUUCAGGCAAACCUAUUUACCGCAGGAGUUUCCUUUUUUUCCCGUUCAACAUGAAUUAGUGGUAGAAAAUGAACAAUUUAAGAAUGUUUUGUUUUUUUGUGAACUUUAAGCACUCCUGCUUCUCCAGCAGUCUUCAUCACUCAGUACAGAUGUUUUUGACCUAGAAUUGGCAACUCACUGCAUGUACUUGUAAAACCUCUAGUCGUGUGCUAGUUUUAGAUGAUGAUCUGUGAAUGUGAAAAUGAAUGUUCUCAAAAUAUUUUGGGACGCUCUGUGUAUAAGCCUUGUGUGCAUCAUCAGUAAACCCCUGUGAUUUCAAACGAUGGCGAUUUGUGCAUUGUUUUGUUAACAUGCUUGUAUCUUAUUAUUUACUCAUUGAUUCACUUGCAAAGUCAUUAAAGAUUGAA